RNAcentral lists this ribosomal RNA (274 nucleotides) under uncultured bacterium. RNAcentral describes it as "partial 16S ribosomal RNA". It matches the Rfam family "Bacterial small subunit ribosomal RNA", at positions 523 to 796 of the family's 1533-position model. The record is from RNAcentral.
CUACGGAGGGUGCAAGCGUUAAUCGGAAUUACUGGGCGUAAAGCGUACGUAGGCGGUCCGUUAAGUUAGAUGUGAAAGCCCCGGGGUUAACCUGGGAACUGCAUUUAAAACUGGCGGACUAGAGUUGAGUAGAGGGGAGUGGAAUUUCAGGUGUAGCGGUGAAAUGCGUAGAGAUCUGAAGGAACACCAGUGGCGAAGGCGACUCCCUGGACUCGAACUGACGCUGAGGUACGAAAGCGUGGGUAGCAAACGGGAUUAGAAACCCCAGUAGUCC